RNAcentral lists this small RNA (658 nucleotides) under Pan troglodytes (chimpanzee). Its description in RNAcentral is "processed transcript". The record is from RNAcentral. Lineage: Eukaryota; Metazoa; Chordata; Mammalia; Primates; Hominidae.
GGCCUCCCACUUGUACCUUGGAACUACUCAAAGUCAUUACUGACCACACUUCAGAUUUAGCCAUUAUCAAGAUAAAGAGGAAGUUGUCUUAUGGAUGAAUACUGUUGGUCCCUACCAUAAUCGUCAAGAAACAUAUAAGUACUUUUCACUUCCAUUCUGUGUGGGGUCAAAAAAAAGUAUCAGUCAUUACCAUGAAACUCUGGGAGAAGCACUUCAAGGGGUUGAAUUGGAAUUUAGUGGUCUGGAUAUUAAAUUUAAAGAUGAUGUGAUGCCAGCCACUUACUGUGAAAUUGAUUUAGAUAAAGAAAAGAGAGAUGCAUUUGUAUAUGCCAUAAAAAAUCAUUACUGGUACCAGAUGUACAUAGAUGAUUUACCAAUAUGGGGUAUUGUUGGUGAGGCUGAUGAAAAUGGAGAAGAUUACUAUCUUUGGACCUACAAAAAACUUGAAAUAGGUUUUAAUGGAAAUCGAAUUGUUGAUGUUAAUCUAACUAGUGAAGGAAAGGUGAAACUGGUUCCAAAUACUAAAAUCCAGAUGUCAUAUUCAGUAAAAUGGAAAAAGUCAGAUGUGAAAUUUGAAGAUCGAUUUGACAAAUAUCUUGAUCCGUCCUUUUUUCAACAUCGGAUUCAUUGGUUUUCAAUUUUCAACUCCUUCAUGAUG